UACGGGGGGAGCAAGCGUUGUUCGGAUUUACUGGGCGUAAAGGGCGCGUAGGCGGUCGUGACAAGUCACUUGUGAAAUCUCCGGGCUUAACUCGGAACGGUCAAGUGAUACUGUCGUGCUAGAGUACAGAAGGGGCAACUGGAAUUCUCGGUGUAGAGGUGAAAUUCGUAGAUAUGGGGAGGAACACCGGUGGCGAAGGCGGCCACCUGGACGGUAACUGACGCUGAGACGCGAAAGCGUGGGGAGCAAACAGG
Molecule: ribosomal RNA, 254 nt
Filed under: uncultured bacterium
Lineage: Bacteria
Description: partial 16S ribosomal RNA
Rfam family: Bacterial small subunit ribosomal RNA
Source: RNAcentral